Molecule: ribosomal RNA, 451 nt
Filed under: uncultured bacterium
Lineage: Bacteria
Description: partial 16S ribosomal RNA
Rfam family: Bacterial small subunit ribosomal RNA
Source: RNAcentral
AGCGAACGCUGGCGGCAGGCUUAACACAUGCAAGUCGAACGCCCGUAGCAAUACGGGAGUGGCAGACGGGUGAGUAACGCGUGGGAACAUGCCCUUUGGUUCGGAAUAACUCAGGGAAACUUGAGCUAAUACCGGAUAAGCCCGAGAGGGGAAAGAUUUAUCGCCGAAGGAUUGGCCCGCGUCCGAUUAGCUAGUUGGUGAGGUAAUGGCUCACCAAGGCGACGAUCGGUAGCUGGUCUGAGAGGAUGAUCAGCCACACUGGGACUGAGACACGGCCCAGACUCCUACGGGAGGCAGCAGUGGGGAAUAUUGGACAAUGGGGGCAACCCUGAUCCAGCCAUGCCGCGUGAGUGAUGAAGGCCCUAGGGUUGUAAGGCUCUUUCGGCGGGGACGAUAAUGACGGUACCCGCAGAAGAAGCCCCGGCUAACUUCGUGCCAGCAGCCGCUGUAA